UCAAUAAGAAUGAAAAAAAGAUCGGCACUCAACACGGUGAAAGGCAACCUCAACAUACAUCAGCAGAUAGCCCUUACUCUUCAGAUUAUUUUACAAAUAUGAGGUUAUAAAUGGUAGUAAAGUGUAUGGCGACACAUUCUGGCGGUAUUGGAAUACUCCAACAGUUCUGAUUGCUAUAUCCCUCUUGGGUUUAUACAACCCCCGGAAGUACAGACAACAAAGCAGACAUAAUCUGGAAUAUCGAUAACCUCUAAAGCUCUGAGAGGACCCUAAAAUAAAAGCAACUCCUGGAGGCUGGCAUUAUCGAAGAUUUUCACGAAUUCCACGAAACUCACGCCAGCUGCUUCACACAUUGAAAAUGAUGAGAGGCUGGUGGAUUGAAGUGUAGUCAAACAGUAUUUUUCAACAAUGUGGACAACUAAGAAGUGCUCCUUCGUUACCCUCCUUCUCCAAACACUACAUGUCAAUAGUCCCAACAAAAAGUUAUAAAACAAGCAGUCUUGACCUUCCUUUCCCACCGUGACAGGCAGAAUUAAUAGAGCUAUCAAGUAUUAGUAACUGCUAAAGAGGGAUUGUCGUUGAGAGAGGCACUUAAAGACCAAUCCAGAGCUUUCUGCCUUCAGAAUGUUCUUUUCGCAGCAUACCAAGUUUUACACCAGAUAGAAACAGAAUCCUUAGCAAACUGGGCCCAGCCCAAAACGGACCAAAUCAGACUGAUAAAAACUGCUCAUAAUCAUAUCUGCAGCUAUAGCAGCAAUUUAAAAUCUAUGUAAUAGCUGAUAUCGACGACUCCGAACUGAAUACUAAUCGAUGCAGAUGCAAUACUGGUCACGUCUGUUACUUGUAUUUAAAAAUAA
Long non-coding RNA from Bolinopsis microptera, 857 nucleotides. RefSeq lists it as uncharacterized. The record is from RefSeq and is a predicted model, not a curated record. Lineage: Eukaryota; Metazoa; Ctenophora; Tentaculata; Lobata; Bolinopsidae. The transcript is spliced from 4 exons.